Molecule: non-coding RNA, 3845 nt
Organism: Pogona vitticeps (central bearded dragon)
Lineage: Eukaryota; Metazoa; Chordata; Lepidosauria; Squamata; Agamidae
Source: RefSeq, a predicted model, not a curated record
GCAAACGUCUGAUAUUUGAGGGAGGUAGUUCUGAUCUUCUGUCCUACCUUUGUUGCUUUCAGGCACUUUUCCUGUCCUCCUGACAGAGCUGGUGGUGGGCGUUUUCCUGCAGGUCCUGGGCCUGCCCUUUGUGGCGGUCUCCCAGGUGUCCCUUUUUUCUAAAGUCACAGCGGAGAGAACACAAGGGUUCAGCCAGGGUCUUCGGCGCUCCGUUGGGGGAAUCGCAACCAUCCUUGGGCCUCUGUGGGCUGGGGGCCUGACCACAAACCUUUACAUCAUGUUGGGAGUGAUGAUGGGGCUGUUGACUCUCCUGAUGAUUAUGGUGGGGCUCUCCUAUACAUACCUUAUAGAACCACCCAGGCGGGACCUUUCACCAAGAACUUCCCAGGAAGAAUGCCGCUCAUGAAAGACCGCAGGGUUGGUUUUUUAGAGAUGGAUUUGAAGAAAUGGGAAAGUGCGCAGUCCACCAGGUGUCCUUCUGAUUGGUGCUGUGGCCCUCCCCUGACUGGAUCCCCACUUCCACGUUGCUGAUCUCUCACUGGGAAGAGACCCAGGGAAGCACUUGUAUCCAUCCAGAGAGCAACACCCAACGGGUAUAGGACUACCGUGUUCUGGCGCCUUCCGGCUUGAUUUGCACAUUGUCCCCCUGACACGGAUGUCUCAGACUUGGCUCAGCACUGCCCCCUGUGGGUGGGGUAUGCCAUUUCCUGUCACACCUUUAAUAGCACUUUAUUAUUUUUGCCCGGUGGGACCCCCACAAGGCACUUUUCUUUAAAUGGUGGAAAGAACUAGGGUGGGGAUUGUAGAAACUUUUCGUCUGUGAAGGACCUUUUGAAUUUUGGUCUACUUCAGCUUUUUCCCAACCUGCUGCCGUUUGAAUAUUUUGGAUUUCAGCCUCCAGCCUGAAUGCUCAUGGUGAUCGGACUUCAUCCAGUCUAUCUGGAGGUUUGUGGCUUGGGCAAGACUGCCGCCCCGGUUCCUAAGACUGUAAGAGCUUUUCUUUCUUUCUCUCCUGUUCUCAGUGCUCCCUGAACCUGGGAGCAGUGGGGCCUGAUCCUAGCCCUCCUGAGGUUGCAGUCUGAACCUCUGGUCUCCCCCCCAGAAGGCCACCUGUCCUUAGCUUUGAUGCCGUCAUCUGGAGCUUCUUCCAGCGAUUGUAUGGGUUUUUCUCCAUCUUGUAAGUUUGAAAUAUCUCUCGAAAGAUUUAUUUACCGGCAGGAAGAGUCUCCGGCUAAAAUAACCCUCCUUGUGACAUUGCCAAAUGUGGUGCGUGAGAACUUGUCUGCAAUUGAAUUCAGCUGAAAGAGGUUCUCCAUCGCUUGACCUUCAACCUGGGCUUGUCAUCAUGGUUGCAACCUCAGAGAGCCACUGUGAUUGUGGAUAAUUUAGCUUCCCUUUCUCUCUCCUCCUCAGUUUUCUGUGUGUUUCCAUUGGAAGCUGGGAGAGAUCACAAUCUUGAGAACCAGUGCGGAGUCUGAUUCAAGAACCUCUGCUACCCAAAGUCCCUGUUUGCAGCAUCCUAUGGGACGACAACGCUCAGCUAGCUGUCUCUGAGAAAGUCGCAGGCAGGGCACCUAUCAAAGAUCAUGACUGGCUUUGAGCAGUUGAACGUUGAGGACAGCUUCUGGAUAGCUGCUAAUCAUCCUAUAUUCCACACCUUUAGAGCAGCCUUCCCCAUCCCAGUCUUGUCGGUUGGGGGGAUAGCUGGAGGAUAGCGAGUUGAGGAAGGCUGUCUUAGGGAGUAGCUACAAGCAGGAUGAUAAUAAUCCUUUGGUAGGAUGCUUUGGGAGGUAGAUGGGCAAUCUUUAGGAAGGUGAGGAUGUGCAUAACAUUCCCUAGGCCCUGGUAUCUGCUCAAUAUUUUUUCACAGUUUUUUUUUUCAAGCUGGAAAAGUGCCAUGGUGUCCUCUAGGGGCCAAAAGAUAAGAAAAAUAAGUGGGGUGGACAAAGUCUCCAUGCCCUCUGGAUGACACAAGGGAGAGUAAAGCCACUGGAGUGGAGCCUGUGGGGAAGGCUGCCUUUGUAACCUGUUUCCUCCUAAAGGCUUAUCCGAUUUGAUGAGUAGAUCAGCUGUCAGGGAGGGGGAGAAAGGAGCUGCCUCAGCACACAGAAAUCUAAGACUUCCUCCGCCUGUUUGUGUUAUAAUAUUACUACAACAGGUAAACUCCCAUUUCCAGAGAGGUUGGGAGCGGGCACCACCAUGUCACAAAAGUGUGCAUGGGAUCACACACUUCAGCACUGAAUAUCUAGCACAUACAAUCCACAUUUACACUUUUACGUGUGCGAGCACAGGGUGUCCCCACUGCUGCCGCCAUGGCCUCUUUACUUGUCUUGUCAUGGUUAGGAGGUGGGACUCCCUUCCGUGCCUGAGAUCUACCUGCGGAAGCCUUUGGGUGCAAGUUUCCUUCACCCGAGAGUGAUACGAGGAUGCUCAUGGAGGACUCCUGUACAGUACAUACCCGUUAUAUUUUUUUAUUAAGUACAUUUAGAUCUCACCCUUCCUCCUGUGGGCUCCCCUUGGUAUAUACACGGUUCUCGUCUUCCUCCACUUCAUCUGCACAACAACCUUGUGAAGUAGGUUUUGCUGAGAAAGAGUGACUUGGCACGUGCUUCCAGACAGAGAGUUCUUAGCUCUACCAGUUAUUCUCUAUUGGGCCCAUCUUUGUGUUUUUUUCCCCCCAGUAGAUUUUCUCUGUAAGAAAAAGGAUAGAAGGAGGGGGUGGCAAAACAUUGGCGGGUUAGAAUCUUGAGGACGAUAAAAGUUGGUGGCCAAGAAACGGUGGUUGCGCAAUAGAAGCCUCAUCAAGACACGCCCUGCGUCUUUCCUUGUGGAUGUUGUUAAACUGGAAUGGACAUCAUUCUUUACCCUUGGUUGUCUUAGCUGAGGCUGCUGGCAGCUGCCCUCCGGCCGUUGAUGGAGGGCCACUCUUUGCCCUCCCUUGUUCCUUGGGCUCAUUUCUGGUUUAUGUGCUACGGUGGACAAUUUGAGACUCUGCUACACGGUAACUCCUCGUAGCUCUUACCAACGCAGCAAAAUAGUGAAGCACGGUGGGAGUUAAGAGCUCAAUGACAUCUGGAGAGCCAGAAUUGGCCCACCUUGUUAGAAAGUCAUACCCAUGUUUGGAAGUGGGUUUUGGAAGGGUUUGUUGUUAAUGUCCUUUUCUACAGUAAGCCGUUGCGUUCUGACCAUAUUGAUCAAACAGACCCAAAUGUUAUGUCCCCUCCGGCAGCAAUAAUAGUGGGUUGGGAAGGGCUAACUUAAUACAGAGAACCUGGGAAGUGGAGAUGUUUUCCUUUGUCUGGGUUCAGCUGGUACAUGGAAGGUGGUUUCCAUAUACAGAGCAUGGUCUGUGUAGAUGUUGGUUCAAGAUUCCUUACAAACUGGUCCUCCAUCCCAUUCUUAUUUCUUCAGUUUCUGUUGCUUUUUUUUAAUGUUGGGGGAAGUGGGAAUUUUGAAUAUGUAAAAGGUCUCAGAUUGGUUGGAACAUGGUAAGGAGUGCUCUUUUUUUUCUAUUGUUCUUGUGGAUGGGAACUCUGUGCUGCUGAGCUCCCUGGUGCCCUCCAUUGUGGGUUGUGCUGCUUGCCUGUACCUCCAUCCCUUCCCUUUUUUAAUGUUUCCCAACACCCUUCAUUUAUUGGGAUUUUUUUUUCCUCCUUUGGAUUAUUUUUGCUGCUAUCUGUCUAGCCUGCCUGCUAAGACCCAAAGACAAGAAAAGGGAAGGCUCUGAGGAAUAGUGGGUAGAUAUUCCUCACGUUCUAGCAAUUUCAGUUGAGGGUGUUUUGAUUAUAUUUCUUUGCCUUUAUUUGCUUGCUUACUUUUCUUGUUGGUUUUUUUUUGAAGAAGGA